UGGGGAAUAUUGCACAAUGGGCGCAAGCCUGAUGCAGCGACGCCGCGUGCGGGAUGACGGCCUUCGGGUUGUAAACCGCUUUUGAUCGGGAGCAAGCCUUCGGGUGAGUGUACCUUUCGAAUAAGCACCGGCUAACUACGUG
This 142-nucleotide ribosomal RNA is filed under the name uncultured Bifidobacterium sp. RNAcentral's name for it is "partial 16S ribosomal RNA". It matches the Rfam family "Bacterial small subunit ribosomal RNA", at positions 355 to 507 of the family's 1533-position model. Lineage: Bacteria; Bacillati; Actinomycetota; Actinomycetes; Bifidobacteriales; Bifidobacteriaceae. The record is from RNAcentral.